GGCAUUGAGUUAGACAGCUCGAUUUGGGCAGAGGGAGAGUUUUACCAAGAACACUUUCAGUUCCUGUUUCCAAUUGAGGCUGCUCCCUGCCUGGGGCCUACCCUAACGCAAAAGCCCAUUGGCUAGAAUUGCUUAAAUGUCCCAUACAAAUAUAAACACCUCGAUAGUGCUGGGAAGAUUAAAGGAACAGCUUAUUGAUAUUGUAUAUGCUCUUGUUUGGAUGUGUGACGGGGAAGACAGCAUUUAACUGCUGGUAUGCAAUGCUGAACCUGGACUGCAUGAAGAGGUUUUCGUUCACUGAUGUUGGAUGUGUGCCCAGACUGCCAUAGUAGAAUUUAGGGAAAACACAGAAAGGAGGAGAGACACAGAAUGGUUUUUGGGAACAUCCAUGUGGGGCAGAAGAAUAAAUACAUGUGAAGACCAUGUUUCCAGAAAUGAAAUGACUGGCCACUGGGCAACAGUUAUGAGUCCCCCAAAUCCCUUCCUGGUCCUCUCCAUUUGCACUUGAAGAUGGAGUCUCUCUCUGUCACCCAGGUUGGAGUCCAGUGGUUCAAUCUCGGCUCACUGCAAGCUCUGCCUCCCAGGUUUACGCCAUUCUCCUGCCACAGCCUCCCGAAUAGCUGGGACUACAGGUGCAUGACACAAGGCCUGACUAAUUUUUUGUAAUUUUAGUAGAGAUGGGGUUUCACUGUGUUAGCCAGGAUGGUCUGGAUCUCCCAACCUCGUGAUCCGCCCGCCUCAGCCUCCCAAAGUGCUGGGAUUACAGGUGUGAGCCUGGCCAACAAUCUUUUUAAAGUACAUAUGAAAUCUAGCUAAAGGAAGAAUUAGGAAACAGGAAGAUGGAUCUCUAAAAAUUACCCCUAUAAUGUAGCACAGAAUGAUAAAGAAAAGGAUAACAUGUAAGAGAACUAUUUCAAAGGAAUCCAGAAGAAGAGAACAGAGAAAAUGGAGAAUACACAAUUAAAAUGGUAAUUGAGAAAUUGUUCCAAAACUGAUAUGAACAUGAAUCAUCAGAUUCAAAUAGUAAAAGUAGCCUCAACAUGAUAAGUACAAUUGAAUCCACACCUAGACAUAUCAUAAUGAAACUUCAGAACACCAACAUAAAAAACAAGUUUCUUUAAAGCGCCAGAAAGAAGGAAAAAUCAUUUGAAAGAAUAAUAUUAUACUGACUGCAGACAGCAGAAUUAUCGUAGCAACAAUAAAAGUCAAGAGAGUGGAAUAGUACCUUCAGUAAGUUGAAGCCACAUAGCUGUCAACUAGAAUUAUAUGUUGUUGUAAUCACCCCACAGCAAUGAAUGGGCUCCCCACGUGAAACUUUGUUCAGAUAUCAUGACUGAUGGUACCAUACACACAUACCAAGAGAGUAUGAACAUUUUUAUUAAUCAUGGAUUGAAGAUUCCUGGGGAGAACAGAUUCCCAAGCAGGUCUGAAAAUGGUUGGGAGAGCAGAGAAUGGAGACUGUCUUGGGUUUAUGAUGGUUAGGUAGUUAGAGGUGAAAGUGAAGUUUCCCUUCAUGAUCCAGGGCUUGCAUGGUUUAAUCUUUCUGACACCAACAAAGGAGGGUACCUAAGAAACCAGGUAAAGGUAUAUUGCAUUCCUUCCAAAGUGAAGGCAAAUUGAAAUUUGAGAGACUAUUGAAAUAGGCUCAGAACAGAUGUAGACAAAUAUGUGACUGAAAAGUACAUACCAGUUGCUGAUUGUUUGGUGUUUAUCUUCUCAUGGAGAAAGGAAGGCUGUGUGCAUACAAGUGACAUCUGCUGCUUGUUUCAAGUCCUAGAAUUGUAUGACUACCUUAGCUUCAUGUGGGCCUAGUGCCUCAUUCUGUUGGUCCUGUUCUUUGAUUAUACAGGCUGUUCACCUCAGGUACAGGUACACAUCUAUUGCUCUAUUGCUUCCUCCAAAGCAAAAUGCCCUUGAUAUUAAGUUCACAGAGCCUGAGGCUUUUGUCCAGAUUUUACUGAUUUCUCCAAUUUCUGCCUAGUAGUAAAGUCUUUGCCCUUAGACUAAGCCAGCUUUGUCCACUAGAGAUAUGAUAUGAGCCAUAUGCGUCAUUUAAAAUUUUCUAGUAGCUACAUUUAAAAAUAAAUUAACAGAGCUAGGUGAAACUAAUAAUACAGUGUAUUUACUCCAACACAUCCAAAAUAAUAUGAAAUGUUAUUAAGAUAUUUUGCAUUCAUAUUUUCUAAGUCUUCAAAAUUUAGAAUGUACUUUAUUUACACUUACAGAAUAUCUCAGUUAAGCGUUCAUUAAAAGUGCUUGAUCUGUGUUUAGAUUUUAUAAAAUUUACAGUUGAAAAAUUAGAUGCACAUACCUAAGUUAUUUCAAAUGUACAAAAACAGUUUCCAAAAGCUGAAUUGAGGGUCAAUUUUAAAAUUUAAAUUUAAAGUAAUUUAAGUUAAAUUAAAAAGUUAGUUUCUCAGUCUCCCUAGCCACAUUUUAAGUGCUUGGUAGCUACAAGUGGGCUAGCAGCUACUGCACUGGGCAGCACAGACUAUCGUGAAAUGCAGGCCCUCAUCUCAAAGCCUCCUUUCUGCUUGCAUGUUACAUCUUGAAUUAGAAAGAUGGGACUGCACCUCACUUCCUGAAAAUAACACUCAUAUACCUUAAACUGACAUUCAAAACUCUUAGUAACAUCUUGAAGGCAUUGAAACAGCCAAGGAUCUACAACUUCCUAAUUAAACUAGCUAAAAUUAAUUUUUCCUUAUUUUGUUAUCCCAAAGAACUUCUUCUUACCUCUGUUUUAGGCUUUAUUCCAAUAGGCUCAUAGUAUUUUUUACUGUAUCCUUGGUGAAUCGCCAUGUCAUAAUCCUAAAGAACAUGAUUCCUAAGUUUAGAAAAAUCUAGGUUUGAUCCCCCGAAUGCCCAUCUAUUGGCUUGGGCAGUUAUGUCUUCUGAGCCUAACAUUCCUUAUUUACAAAGUGGGAAUAAUACUUACUUAAUAAUAUGAUGUAGUGAGGAUUAUAAGUGAUACAGCCUAUAAAGUGCUUUACUUUGUGUCAGAGUUUGUCACCAAAAAAAUUACAAAAAUAAUGUUAGCAAAUAUUUAUUGAUCUGUUUCUCACUAAAAUUUAAGUCUUUAAAGGUGAGGGUCAUUGAUCUGCUUGCUAAAGGGACAUCACCUAGCACUGUGCUGUGCAUAUGGCCGUAUAUACAGCUCAGUCAAUGGUUGAGUUUAAAUUCAAACUGACUGCUACCACUGACUGGAUUCAGACUUCACCCUGCUUCGCAUGCCCUCCUUAUCUCCAUUUGUAUAUCUCUUCCAGUUGCUUUGCCUCUUUGUCUUCUUGGUCUCAAUAGUCACUAAAGUUUCAAGCAACAGGUGAGAAAAAUAAAAUUAAAAAGCCCUUUUUCAUAAGGCAAAACAGUCAUGGAAUAUAAAGGAAAUUUAAUUUUAGAACUGCAUUAGAAUAAAGUUGGUUAGGUAUAAACCCUUAACUCCUAGAAACGUAUUCAGAGCAACAGGCAUCUCCGCCAGCUCCCUGGGACCGGGCUACAGUGGAGUUGUGUCAUAGUGCAAAAGUAGUGAACUGCUGAUAAAAAGCAUUAACCUCCAUCAGAGUGGCUGCCAUUAACUGAUGAAAUCAAUUAAGCCAGCAGCACUACCUGCUGAAAACUGAUCUAGCAGAGGAACGGAUGGCAGGGUAGAACAGAUGAAAUGAAAAAAUAGUGGGCUGGGUUUUCUUCUUGCUCUGUUUUUAGAAAUGUUAAGUUCCGUCAGUGUGUUUUUUUGCACUGCUUUGAAGAACUCUUUCCCCGGCGACUCCCCCCCUGCUUGGCCUCAUUCCUUAAACUCACUAAGUUAUUACAGUUAAUACCGUGGUUAAUGGUUUCUGGAAAGACGAUAUCUAUCAGCAUCUGAGUGUACACAUUUUGGCCUAAAUACUGAGAAAUCGUAGGUAUGUAAUACAAAGCCUGGGUGUGCCUGCCUGUAGAAAGUAGCUCAUUAGGAUUAAUCUUUUAUGGAGUGACUAAUGCAAAGGGAACGAGGCCUUUUCCUCCCCAACUCGGCAGAGGUUUUGUCCAAACUUUCAAACAGGUUUCUUUGGAAUACAGCUGGUCACUACUGAAGACUUUGCUCAAACAUAUGGAACUUUAAAACCUUGAUUUUUUUUUUAACUUUUGUAUACUGUAGCAAUUCCCUGAAAAUCAAAUGGCAGAACCUAAACGGAAGACUCACUGCCAAAACGCAUGCCCAGUUGGGGAAAAGUGUGUGGGGAAUCAUCCAGCACACUUCGAGAGCUUCGAGUACAGCCUGGUAGAACUCUGUAUUACCUUCUGUUCUGAUUCCUGAGCUCUGCCAGACUUUUGUUUGAAAAAGCAUCUUUAUGCAGCAGUACAUUUGUUACGUUGUAUCUGAGAAUACUUUCCACCUUGGCUCCUGCUUUUAACGAGUAAAAUGACUUCUUCUCUUGCUACAAAGACCAAAAGGACACAAGGUACAAGGCAGAGCUUCUCAGCAGAGAUAUAUGUUUUUUUCUGCCAAAAUUAGUAUAAGACAAUAAGUUGUCUGUAAAGGUCCGGUAGUCAGAUAAAGGAGUCAAGUUCCUUUUCAGGGUAAUGUAAUUGUUAGUCCUCAUAAAAAAAAGUGUUGUGUGGUGGGGGGAGUUGCGGCUUUAUCAAUAAAAGCAUACAGAGCUGAAUAUCUACAUAAAGAAAUGUUCAGUAUAAUUUAUGGCAUUUCAUCAUGUCGAACUGCAUUUCAAGUAAUUCACCCUGGCAGUUUUAUUCUCAAAAUGGAAAUCUUAGUAUUUUCCUUGCCUUCAUCAAAUAAAGAGUUCGUGUUCAACUGUAGUCCGUAUACUUGAUAAUUUGUCUGGCUGGGUAAGGUUAUUAGCAAUUUAAGAAGUAAACCCAUUUGGAUUUUCAGAGUUAACAGAAAUAGGAGAUUGCUAUGAUGAUCUCUUAAAAAUUACAAUGUAACACACAAAAGUGAGAUUUAAGUAACAAGAUUUUCCAUACACCAAUAACACCAGGGAAAUUCAAACUCAAACUCCCUCGUUUAAUUUCCAGGGAUUAAGGGGUUGGUAUUGAAGUCAAUGAAAGAUACAUUUUACAAAACUGUUAAUUCAAUUCAGAAAAGCAGACCAAAGGCCCACUAUCUUUAGAGUUUCUUUGGUUGAAAUGCAACUUGAUCAACUGGGUGGAAGAUAUUUCUAAUUCUCUAAACUGGUCAGAACAAAGUAGAGGACAGUGGUCCCAGCCAGAGGAUCCUGAGGGUCUCCUAUGAUAAACUGUUAGACUUGCAAGGGCAUUUAGAGAUUAUUUAGCCCAAACCUAUAGCUUGGUAAAUGAGGAAAUUGAAGCCUAGAGAGUAAAUGACUUAGCUAACAUCAUUCAACUGGUCGGUAUAGGUGUUCACUCACUUGCCUUUCAAAUAGAGAUCUUUUUAACUCCCUCAUCAAAUUCUUUCAGGAAUUAUUGAUUUUCUUAGUUGGUUUCUUUUGAUUUUAUAUUUUAUCAUGGAGAUGAUAUUAAUUCCAGGAUAAAAUACUGAUAUAAGGAAUUUUCAAAAUUGUUGCUCAUUAUUUUCUAAUUUUCAUUUAGCCUCUUGCAACAUUGCAAACAAAGUUGAUAACAUUUUACCUUUAGAUUCACCUUUUCAAUUUACAAAACACUUAAUGUCUAAGACUUGCCAAUGAUAUAAGCUAUUUACUAUUUAACACAUUUAUAGAUAAGGUGUAGAGCAUUGGCAAGGUUAAAUGACUUUGCUAAGGUCACACAACCAGACAUUAGCGAAGCCAGACCUUGAACCCAGCAUUUUUUACUGUUUACACCAUGUUAGUUGUGAAUGUAUAACUAAGGCAAAGGGAUCACCUCAUAAAGUUCUUACUGAUGAGGGACUGAAUUGUUUAUUUGCUAUUUCACUGUAAGAAGCUUCGCUUAAUGGAUAAAAGCAUAAGAUUUAGACUCAAACCAGAAAUCCACCUCUACUUUAUAGUAGUAUGGGGACAUUGGUUAAGUGAUCUCUUUUAUUCACAAUCGUCUCAUCUGCUUAAUGGUGAUAAUAAUAAAUGUAGGUUUUUCUGGAACAAUUAAAUGGCUAAUGCAUUUGAGAAAAAGCAUGUAUUUCAUUGUUUGGCAUAAAAUAAACACUAUAUAUUUUUAGUAACUGUUACUAUGCUAUUAUUCUAAGCUAUACUAUCAGCAAGAUGUAAGUAAUGCUCCUAUUUCAUCAUAAAUAUAUAAAUACUUAUGUUUUUAUGUAUAGAUUGUUAUGCUUACAUAGGUUUCAGUGCACUUUGUUAGUAAUUAUUCUUCAUAUCUUUCAGAAUGCAAACUUCUUAAGGUCAAAGACAUGUGUUUUAUCUUUGAUAUAGAAUAUUUUCAAUGACAAGAUAUGUUCAUCUUUAUAUCCCCAAAACCUAUCAUGUUUUUGAAAGACAGUAAGUGUUAAUAAACAGUUAUUAGUGUUGAAA
This is a long non-coding RNA of Homo sapiens (human), 6416 nucleotides long. RefSeq lists it as uncharacterized. The transcript has 2 exons. The record is from RefSeq and is a predicted model, not a curated record. Lineage: Eukaryota; Metazoa; Chordata; Mammalia; Primates; Hominidae.